Molecule: transfer RNA, 76 nt
Filed under: Burkholderiaceae bacterium
Lineage: Bacteria; Pseudomonadati; Pseudomonadota; Betaproteobacteria; Burkholderiales; Burkholderiaceae
Description: tRNA-Gly
Rfam family: tRNA
About the family: Transfer RNA (tRNA) molecules are approximately 80 nucleotides in length. Their secondary structure includes four short double-helical elements and three loops (D, anti-codon, and T loops). Further hydrogen bonds mediate the characteristic L-shaped molecular structure. tRNAs have two regions of fundamental functional importance: the anti-codon, which is responsible for specific mRNA codon recognition, and the 3' end, to which the tRNAs corresponding amino acid is attached (by aminoacyl-tRNA synthetases). tRNAs cope with the degeneracy of the genetic code in two manners: having more than one tRNA (with a specific anti-codon) for a particular amino acid; and 'wobble' base-pairing, i.e. permitting non-standard base-pairing at the 3rd anti-codon position.
Source: RNAcentral
GCGGAAAUAGCUCAACUGGCAGAGCGCGACCUUGCCAAGGUCGAGGCUGCGGGAUCGUACCCCGCUUUCCGCUCCA